Molecule: transfer RNA, 73 nt
Filed under: Perkinsus marinus ATCC 50983
Lineage: Eukaryota; Perkinsozoa; Perkinsida; Perkinsidae
Rfam family: tRNA
About the family: Transfer RNA (tRNA) molecules are approximately 80 nucleotides in length.
Source: Rfam by way of RNAcentral
GGUCUCGUGGCCUAAUGGAUAAAGCGUUGGUCUCCGGAACCAAAGAUUGGGGGUUCGAGUUCCACCGAGAUCG